RNAcentral lists this long non-coding RNA (3586 nucleotides) under Homo sapiens (human). RNAcentral describes it as "HSALNT0299395". Lineage: Eukaryota; Metazoa; Chordata; Mammalia; Primates; Hominidae. The record is from RNAcentral.
GGCAACAUGCUCAGGUCUCUUACCACGCUGUGGAAGCUUUGUUCUUUCGCUCUUUGCAAUGAAUCCUGCUGCUGCUCACUCUUUGGGUCCACACUGCCUUUAUGAGCUGUAACACUCACUGUGAAGGUCCGCAGCUUCCCUCCUGAGCCAGCGAGACCAGGAACCCACCAGAAGGAAGAAACUCAGAACACAUCCCAACAUCAGAAGGAACAAACUCCAGACGCGCCACCUUAAGAGCUGUAACACUCACCGCGAGGGUCUGCGGCUUCAUUCUUCAAGUCAGUGAGACCAAGAACCCACCAAUUCCGGACACACCAAGUCCUGAGUUCAGAAUUUUGUUUUUGAGAUGAACAUAAAAGCACCUAAAGGUCAAGGAAGAUGUUCUUCCUGUGAUAAGGAACACAAAGCCUGUUUGGUGGUCUCUUCACACGGAAGCGCAUGACACUUCGCUUUAGUGUAGAUGACCACUCCCCUCUGUAAGGUAGGGAGGAAGAAUGUUCGGUUAGUUCCUUUCCUCCGGCCGAUCUCUUUUUUUUCUUCUGGCACGGUCCAACAGACACUCCUGGCACUUGGCUUCCCGGGGGCUGCUCGCCCCCGGCCCAGAGGCCGGUUUCCAGCGGCAGGCCUUAUUCCACCAUCUUUGCAGCUUCCAAUUCUUUUCAUGUUAAGUUGUUUUUUGGAGAGAUAUAUAAAUUUAUUUUGGUCAGUAUUUGUCUUAUAUCUCUUUUUCCAAAUUCUUUAUGUUCCAAUUUUUGGGGUAGUAUUGUUUUAAGUGUCUCUUACAUACUAUAUCUAGAUAUAUCUUUACUCUGAGAAUUUUUUAAGAGGCAGUUUAAAACCGUUACCUGUACUACAACUGCAAAUAUACUUGAAUUUAUUUCUUUUAUAUUAUUUUGUGUUUGCAAUUUAAUAUUAUCUUUGUUUCUCUUCUUAUAUCCAAUUGUGUAGGUGAAGUUUUCUUUGUUUCAUUUCCCUCUGUUUGUUUAAAAAGUUGUAUUUUCUGGCCUGGUGCGGUGGCUCACCUGUGUAAUCUCAGCACUUUGGGACGCCGAGGCAGGCAGAUCACCCGAGGUCAGGAGUUUGAGAUCAGCCUGGCCAAUGUGGUGAAACACUGUCUUUACUAAAAAUAUAAGAAUUAGCUGGGCAUGGUGGCGAACACCUCUAAUCCCAGCUACCCCUUUAGGCUGAGGCAUGAGAAUCACUUGAACCCAGGAGGAAGAGAUUGCAGUGAGGCGAUGCCACUGCCCUCCAGCCUGGGAGACAGAAGACUGUGUCUCAAAAAUUUUCCAUUUCUAUAUUUAUAAUAUAUAAUAACAUAUAAUAAUUAUAAUAUAUAUAGUAUAUACAUAAUAUAAAUAUAAUAUAUAAUAUGAUAUAAUAUAUAAUCUAUAUUAUAAUUUUCCAUUUCUAUAUUUAUAUCCUAUGUUCUAUAAUUACAGUUAAUGAAAAUUUAAGAUUUUUUUCUAGUUAAACAUAAAGCUAUUCUGUACCUCAAUCUUCCUCACAAAUAUGACAAAAUAGUUGAAAUACUUUUUCUUUUCACUCUCAUCUUACCUUCUAACUUCCAAGUUUAUUUUCCAGCUCAUAACUGAUGAUACUCAAUUUUGUAAUAAUUUUUAAUAACGAUACACAUUUAGAUUCACUAAUAUUUGUUUACUAAUUUCUUUGCUUACCAUUAAUUCUUUACACACACACACACACACACACACACUCUUUAUUUAUUUUGACACAGGGUCUCGUUCUUUUGCCCACGCUGGAGUGCAGUGGCGUGAUCUCAGCUCACUGCAGCGUUCACCUCACGGGCUCCGGCGAUUCUCCCACCUCAGCCAUCCCAGUGGCUGAGACUAGAGGUGUGCAUCACCAUGCCUGGCUAAUUUUUGUAUUUUUGGUAGAGAUGGGGUUUCAUCUUGUUGGCCAGGCUGGUCUCAAACUCCUGGGCUCAAAGAGAUCCACCUGCCUCUGCCUGCCAAAGUGCUGGGAUUACAGGUGUGAGCCCCCAUGCCCAGCUACCACAUAUUAAUUCAUUCUUUAGACUUCUUUUUUUUUCUCUUGAUAGAGUCCAUUCUAAGUUGUUCUGUCAGUGAAACUCUGUUUAAAACAUGGCUUGUAUGAAGUUGUCAGGAAUCGGCUCUGACACUUGGAUGAUUCUUCAGCUGGCUAUAAAAUUCUAAAAUCAGAGUAACCGUGUAUUGACUUCCAACAUUCCACAUUUCCAAAGGUGUUUCCUGUGAUCUCUGGGAUCCUGAUCCGCACCACUCAACUUUGGCCUCCUAAACUUCAUCCUUGACCCCACCCCAGGUAGGAAGGAUGUGUGGAUAUUUCUUUUAUCUUUCUGCAACGAUGACCUUUUGGAGAAAAAGAAAGGAAGCAGCUAUCAUAGUGUGAAAUUUCACAGCCAAAACUUCUGCAUCAGCUUCAUAAGGCAGGAAGCCUACAAAUUCCCCUCUUAUGUUUUGAGACUCAUCAACAAACCUCACCGAGACUCAUCAACAAAUCUCACCAACAUAGGACCUCUUGACCAGAAUUUAUCCAGCACUCCAGCACGGCUUGCACGUUAUCUGGAGUAAAGAGACCUUCUGGGAUUUCAUCAGCCUCCUGUCCAUCAAGAGUUCUUCCAGUUUUUGACUGACUGAAUUUUCAGUGAACUGUGUGUCUAACUGAAGCUUUGAGAGAGAGAGAGAGAGAAAGAAGGAAAAAAAGAAAAGGUUUUACUUCACUUGAACUUGUUAAAAAGGAAGAGACACAGAUCCAGCAUAGUAGAAGGAGAAAGAAAGCAGACAACAGUUUGGAAUGGAGGCAUUGAGACGGAAGAGUCCAUUGGAGAUGGAAUGUACACACAAAAAUAACAAUUUAGGUCCUUUGCUCAUGCAACAUCUUGUUCUAAUGUCCUCUGCUCCAGGUCACAACAUUGAGCUACAAAGUGUGUGCAGUGACUCCAGUCUGCAUUCAUGCUACAAGAUGAUCCGUUUAGUAAGACUGAGCAAGGCUUGUUAACCUCUUGGACGUGAGAGAUUUCCCCUGAGAAAAUAUAUAAAACAAGAGAAAAGAAAGAAAAUCAAGUACGAUCACUGAAAACCUGCUUAGUAGUAGCAACUAUUUACUGUAGCUGAUUUUUGUGCAAGGUCAACACUGAACCCUUUAAGUCCAUCUUAGUUCAAACCUCAUGACCAACCUGCCUUCCCCCCUCCCUCCCUCCACUGACACGUCAAACAAAACUAUCCUCCCUCCCUCCACCCUCCUACCCCUCCCAAAUCCUUCCUCCCCACUGCAAACAGACUGAUGGUUUCACAGCACAGAUUAGCAAAUCAUAAAACAUAUCCAUAAAUGCUCCAUCAAGGCUUAGCAAUGAAGCAACACCUAGGUUCCCAACUGAUUAUAAACAUGUUACAACAAAUCUUAGUAAGCUGCUCUGAAAGAUAAUGUGAGUGCAUUCUUGUUCAAUGGCUGAAAUUAAUGUCACAUUUAUAAAUAUCUAGAAAUGUAGAGGAUACGAUUUAAUUAAAUAAAAUGCAGUUUUUGAGGGUGUGAUUCAUGAAACUCAAGAUUGAGUCUGUUCCCUAUCUUACAUAAUAAUGGAUAAAAAGGU